Molecule: ribosomal RNA, 305 nt
Filed under: uncultured bacterium
Lineage: Bacteria
Description: bacterial SSU rRNA
Rfam family: Bacterial small subunit ribosomal RNA
Source: RNAcentral
UCCUACGGGACGCAGCGGUGAGGAAUAUUGGUCAAUGGGCGGGAGCCUGAACCAGCCAAGCCGCGUGAGGGAAGAAGGUACAGCGUAUCGUAAACCUCUUUUGUCAGGGAACAAAGGCGGGGACUAGUCCCCGGAUGAGGGUACCUGAAGAAAAAGCAUCGGCUAACUCCGUGCCAGCAGCCGCGGUAAUACGGAGGAUGCGAGCGUUAUCCGGAUUUAUUGGGUUUAAAGGGUGCGCAGGCGGCCUGUUAAGUCAGCGGUAAAAGCCCGGGGCUCAACCCCGGCCAGCCGUUGAAACUGGCGGG